AGCUGAGGCCAUCAAUUGAAGGGAACAAAGGAGCAGGAGCUCUGCUGCCUCUUCUCGGGGCCUUCCCACAGACAGAGUGUUAUGCCAUGACAUCAUCAACCACCAAUCACCACAGACAGGGUGGAGCAGGUUUUGUCUGUGAACCAGGCUCUGCAAUAGUCAAAAGGCAAAGGGCGGCAGGGCAGGUGUGAGGACAUGAAUGCUGGCUAGUGGAACGAUUUCUUCUCUUCAAGGACCACGCGACGCAUGUGUGAGUUCAACAACAAGGACACCAGGACUUCUGCCACUCACAGCCUGUUGCUCUGAAAUCAUCAGUGCGCACCUAGGCGACAUCAACUCUCCAGCCCUGGUUCUCUGAGCCACAGCCUUCUGGAGUGAUCUGCUGGAAGCCAGUUCUAGCCCAUCCUCCUCCUCUGGGACUGCAUCACUCUUUGAUGACUUGGUCAGCUCUGUUCUGGUGUCCACCACCUGAGACCAACAGCACCACUUGUGUGUCAGUUCUCAGAGAAGAGAGAGGGAAGGAGGGGGAGGGGAGAUGGGAAAGCCUUGCAAGCUAGGGAUGUUCUCCCUCAGUCACACCUCAGCUCUCCCUAAUCUUCACCCAGCAGACAGACUGCAUUCACUACUACCCAGAAUGCACUUCUCCCACAACGCUUGAUCAUGCAAGUCUGAGACCCUACUCUUCUGAAGCUGAUGACCCAUCCUGGAAACUGUGACACAAUACAAGGAGAGGGGUGACGCGUGACCACAGAGGCUGUCUCUUGUUUUGUUUCCUCUAUAAAGCAGAAGGCAUCACAAAGAUCAACGAGGGUCCAAUUGAAGUACCUGAAAAUACCAGUUAUGGCCGAGCGCAUGAAUGCAUUCAUCAGCUACCACUUACGGAGCACUUACGUGCCAAACACUGCUGCAUGCUCGGCCUGCAUUAGCUCAUUUCUGUCUUCAGAAUUACAUUCUAAUGAUAGGGUUACGCUCACUUUGGAAGCCCAGCAAUUAAAUUACAGUUCAGAGAAGUCCAUUACCUCCCAGGGUCAUGAUGUAAUGGAGACUCGAGGGCUGGCUGUCCCUUCCAACACAGCCUCACUCAGUAAACUCAAUGUACUGUGACCUCUAUGCUGCUUCUUAUGAGCACACAUGUCAUCAACUGCCAUUCAAUUCCCUCCACGCUUCUUUAGAUCUUUUUAAAAAAAUAAACAGUGAUUGCUAAUCUGC
This 1209-nucleotide long non-coding RNA is filed under the name Mus pahari (shrew mouse). RNAcentral describes it as "lncRNA (MGP_PahariEiJ_G0012276.1)". The record is from RNAcentral. Lineage: Eukaryota; Metazoa; Chordata; Mammalia; Rodentia; Muridae.